This 885-nucleotide long non-coding RNA is filed under the name Marmota monax (woodchuck). The record is from RNAcentral. Lineage: Eukaryota; Metazoa; Chordata; Mammalia; Rodentia; Sciuridae.
CUUGGGGUCAUCGAGUUCUUUCAGGGACACAUGCCAUCUUUCCACACACCCCAUUCUGCUUUGACAUUAACCACCAGAAAUUAUUAUAUUGUUGUCUUUAUUAACCAAUGUGCUUGAUUACUAAUUGGGUAAAUUUGUUCGGGAGUAAAGCACCUGGAAGAUUGUCUAACUGUUGUCUAUGAGGGAAACUCUUUAGUGACUCCAUACUCUGAGGGUGUGAGUUGGGGCUGAUUCUAGGCACUUCUUUAAGGAUGGAACAAUUGACUUUCAGAAGGAAACAGGAGAUCAGUAAAUACCAUGUUGUCUAUAUUAACUGUGUAGGCCCAAUGAGCCACUGUGGUUGGUAGGAUCUCUCAAAUGCUGAGUUUUGUGAUCCCAGCAAUUUCCUACUCAAUCAGCUUUCUUUUCUAAGGGUAAGUAAUAUGGAGAGUGCUAAUAUUAGCUCUCUACUGCACAGGAUGUUGGUAAGAAGGAGAUACAAUCAACAAAUAAGAUAAGGGUGACUCAGGAGCCCCUCUUACUUCCUGUGAACUCACCACAGGAAGGGUGUACAACACUCUAGUAUUUACCUUGUGUGCGGCCCAAUUCUACUGUUGGAGUGACUGUGAAGUAUUAAAUGCACUGAAGAUUUCAAUGACCAAAUCAUGGAAUUAAUCGGGAGGCCAGGGAAUCAUGUGAACAUCAUGCAUGUUGAGUAUACAUUUCUCAUGCUGUCAAAUCUCUCCUGGCCGCCACUACACAUUUGUGGGAUAUUUUAGAUCUCAGUGACCUUUGAGGAUGUGGCUGUGAACUUCAUGCAGGAGGAGUGGGCUUUGCUGGAUGCUUCCCAGAAGAACCUUUACAGAGAUGUGAUGCUGGAAGUCCUCAGAAACCUGGCAUCUAUAG